This 460-nucleotide ribosomal RNA is filed under the name uncultured bacterium. RNAcentral's name for it is "bacterial SSU rRNA". It matches the Rfam family "Bacterial small subunit ribosomal RNA", at positions 28 to 501 of the family's 1533-position model. The record is from RNAcentral.
GACGAACGCUGGCGGCGCGCCUAACACAUGCAAGUCGAACGAGCGAGAGAGAGCUUGCUUUCUCGAGCGAGUGGCGAACGGGUGAGUAACGCGUGAGGAACCUGCCUCAAAGAGGGGGACAACAGUUGGAAACGACUGCUAAUACCGCAUAAGCCCACGACCCGGCAUCGGGUAGAGGGAAAAGGAGCAAUCCGCUUUGAGAUGGCCUCGCGUCCGAUUAGCUAGUUGGUGAGGUAACGGCCCACCAAGGCAACGAUCGGUAGCCGGACUGAGAGGUUGAACGGCCACAUUGGGACUGAGACACGGCCCAGACUCCUACGGGAGGCAGCAGUGGGGAAUAUUGCACAAUGGGGGAAACCCUGAUGCAGCGACGCCGCGUGGAGGAAGAAGGUCUUCGGAUUGUAAACUCCUGUUGUUGAGGAAGAUAAUGACGGUACUCAACAAGGAAGUGACGGCUAAC